UAACGCGUGAGGAACCUGCCUCAAAGAGGGGGACAACAGCUGGAAACGACUGCUAAUACCGCAUAAGCCCACGGCUCGGCAUCGAGCAGAGGGAAAAGGAGCAAUCCGCUUUGAGAUGGCCUCGCGUCCGAUUAGCUGGUUGGUGAGGUAAUGGCCCACCAAGGCGACGAUCGGUAGCCGGACUGAGAGGUUGAACGGCCACAUUGGGACUGAGACACGGCCCAG
RNAcentral lists this ribosomal RNA (225 nucleotides) under uncultured bacterium. Its description in RNAcentral is "partial 16S ribosomal RNA". It matches the Rfam family "Bacterial small subunit ribosomal RNA", at positions 111 to 334 of the family's 1533-position model. The record is from RNAcentral.